CCUAAGCCCAAAUUCACCAUUCACCUCCACCACUUUCACUGCUUCCAAAAUGAAUAAAAUAACUUGAAGGAAAAGAAGGAGCAGCAGCACAAUCAUACCCUUUUCAUGCUCCCUUUGGAAAAUUUUCUCUUCCACCAACUGUGUAUGAGAAAGUUCAUGUGGCGGAUCUGAACCAGUGAGAUUGUUACCUGGGUGGUAUAGUUGUGACAAAUUUUUGGUUUACAUUUUCAUUUUGGAUCCAUUGGGAUUGUUUCUGAUACCUCCCACUGAAUUGUAGCAUUGUGAUCUAGUAGAUCACACCUUCAAAUCUCAUUAUCUAGCUCAUUGUCUAAUUUAUUGUGGUCAUGGAGACCCUUGUUGUUGUUGAACAGCAUAAGAACCAAUACUACAGCAGGUGCAAGUCACAGAGCCAUGCCCAAUUUGGGGGUUCACCUUCUAGGGACUUUAAGGGGUUCAAUUGCAGGACUUUUGAGUCUGGGACAGGUAUAUUGCCAACUCCAUUGAAAUCUCAUAGUUCCCCUAAAACACCACCCCCUUUUUCUGCAAAUUCAAACUCUGAUAAAAAAAAGCAUAGGAUAACUACUCCUAAGAGCAACCCAAUUCCUAUCAUUGGCAAAGCUUGUAGAAAAGAGACAACUUUCAAUGAAGAUGUUUUGUUCUCUGGGUUAUGGGCUGGACCUACCUACUCAAAUUCACCUCCACCCAGUUCCUUGCCAAUUCCCAAGUUCUCAGUCCAACCAAAGAGGACUGUGUCUCUUGAUCUACCCGGUUCCUCCCCUGAGAUUGAAAUGCGCCCAGUGGCCAAGUCUGCGCCUUCAUCGGCCAACAGGGAGCAUUUGUUUUGUACAAGAGAUCUCUUUGUUAAUGCUGAUUCUGCCACUAAGACCCUGCAUCGCAUUCUCAAUCUUAACAUCAAUGAUGAGUGCAAUAUAAGGAGCGCUGGGCUCCUGUAGAAUGUCUCUUUUAAUGAAAUUGGAUUAGUGUUAGAUAUGUAUAGGGAGACCAAAUAAAAUUUUUAGUCUGAGUCCGUUUGAGUUUGUGUAGCUUUCAGUAGUGGUGGUGCCCUUGACAAUGGUGGCUGUGGUGGGUCAACAAUCUCCAGAUUUUGGAAAUCGGAUCAAGCUUAGCAGUAGAGAGGGUAACUGGGUGUAUACUUGAAGAAUCUAUUGAAAGCAGGCUUUGCUAUGGGUCGAUGGAAGCUUCCAUGAAAAUAUUUGUGAAGCAGAAUGGUGAUAACGAGUCGGAGUGGCAUGGAAUAGAUUUGGUUGACUGAGCUUUCAUCUAUUGGACCUGAAAAAAAUUACAUUCAAUUUGAAUCCUAAUUAAUGACAUAUAGUUCUCAGCAUCAUCUCCUCGUAGAAUGUUUAACUUCCCUUAAUCUGACAUAGGAUUUAGGCCUCCUGCUUUACAUACUAUGUAAAUACUUUAGAAGCUUGUACUUGCAAAAACCCUUAGAGUGCCCUUUAGUCUGUUCUUUUUUUUGGGUUUUCUUCUAAUCAUGCCUAAAGUACUUCAUCCUGAUCUACUUAAAAUGCAGACAAUCAGUCUCCUAGGUGAUAAGCUGUUUGCUAGUUACUACCUUCCCUGCCGGUCUUUCUUUCUCUCUGUUAGUAUUUUAUUCCUUAGCUACCCUCGUUAGGGUAUGGUUUGCCCCUUCGCUAUCUUUUCUGUUUUUUUUUUUUCAAAGAAAAGUUUGAAGGGACUUGUAAUAGUCUUUUGCAGCAUUUGCUUCAGUUAUUUUUUAGGUUAAUCCAUGUCAUUCCACCUGCUAGUAAGCCCCUUAUAUAUUUCAUUUCUGGUGCUGAGUAAUGCUUAUCUCCUUAGUCCUAGUCCUCACCUGGUUUAUCUUCAAUUUCCAUAGAGAGUGUUGACCUUGCCAUGCCAUAUUUAAGGGAGGCAAAACUAUACUGAGGCUGUUUCAGUAGUGACUUGUGAGACGUGGUCAGUUGCAAGUCAGUUUUUCUCGACAAAGACCCUUGUGGCUCGUAAAUUUGUCCGUGUUUCUUUCUUUCUGCUCGUGUAACUUGUGAAUCUUGUUUGAUCUACUGUAAUAAAAUGUCAGUGACUAUUAUCUAUGCACCAUUUAUGUAUCUGAAUUAAAUACUUAUUCUCUUCAUUAUUUUAUGUAGCGUU
This is a long non-coding RNA of Gastrolobium bilobum, 2133 nucleotides long. RefSeq lists it as uncharacterized. The transcript is spliced from 3 exons. The record is from RefSeq and is a predicted model, not a curated record. Lineage: Eukaryota; Viridiplantae; Streptophyta; Magnoliopsida; Fabales; Fabaceae.